UGGGGCCAUGAGUAACACCUUUCUUUGUGGACCCAGUGGCCACAGGGGGACGAGGCUGAGUGAUAUGCAUUGUUGGUGGUUUCUACUCUGAAGGAAAACAAUUGUCAUGAAUAUUUUCUUGUUAAAAUCAACAACUGCAGUGUGAGCGCAGAGUGACUACAGCUGUACCAGCCUGGGUGUACCUAGGGUGUUUAAAAAAAAAAAAAAAAAAAAAAAAAAAAAAAAAAAAAAAAAAUGUAAUAAAAAGAAUUAAGCAAAAGUGUAAGCUAUAUGCACAUAUGUAUCCAAAGUUAAUCUUGCUUACGUUGUCAUGAAUCACUAAGAUAAUGUAAUACUACUUUCUUGCGUGAAGGGUCUACGGUAUUCACUUAUCAAACUUCACACACACUUGUAUAUUGACUACCUAACAAAUGAUACCUUGCGAGGCGCUGAAAGCAA
Portunus trituberculatus (swimming crab) is the source of this 438-nucleotide long non-coding RNA. RefSeq lists it as uncharacterized. The transcript is spliced from 2 exons. The record is from RefSeq and is a predicted model, not a curated record. Lineage: Eukaryota; Metazoa; Arthropoda; Malacostraca; Decapoda; Portunidae.